Molecule: long non-coding RNA, 502 nt
Organism: Xenia sp. Carnegie-2017
Lineage: Eukaryota; Metazoa; Cnidaria; Anthozoa; Malacalcyonacea; Xeniidae
Exons: 2
Source: RefSeq, a predicted model, not a curated record
AAGUCGCUUAAAUCAUUCAUUACAUAAUUCUAGCAUGAAGUAAUUUCACUGUUCUUAAUGUACAUGAAAAGGCUUCGAAGUUAAAUCAACUGUUAUAAAGAUUCUCGUUUAUUUGCACUGAAAAGCUAAAUGAAUGUCUGGAAAAAAGACCCCGCCCCUCCUUAACGAAAUACCACCACCCUUGAAGAAUACAAGCUGUUGCUGUUGAAGGACUUUGAGAACAACUUCGACAAGAGUUUAAUUAUCUCAAUUCCAAGGACUCUCCCACAAAGCUCAAUUGUUUAGAGUUGGAUUGAAGGAGACAUUGCCCAACUCUUCUCUUUUCUAGAAGCUACUGAAGUUAUACCCGCAUUGCAACAUCCAUACAAACAUUAACAAACGUAGAUUGAUCAUUUUAACAGGUCCUCCAUAGAGCUCCUAUCUAACAUCUAACAUUAUAGCGAAUUUUUUUAAUAAGAAAUUAACUUUGACGCAAAUUACCGAAUAAAGAUUGGUAUGCCAA